GACGAACGCUGGCGGCGUGCUUAACACAUGCAAGUCGAACGGAAAGGCCCUGCUUUUGUGGGGUGCUCGAGUGGCGAACGGGUGAGUAACACGUGAGUAACCUGCCCUUGACUUUGGGAUAACUUCAGGAAACUGGGGCUAAUACCGGAUAGGAGCUCCUGCUGCAUGGUGGGGGUUGGAAAGUUUCGGCGGUUGGGGAUGGACUCGCGGCUUAUCAGCUUGUUGGUGGGGUAGUGGCUUACCAAGGCUUUGACGGGUAGCCGGCCUGAGAGGGUGACCGGGGACAGUGGGAAGGAGCGAGGGGCGAGACGACGACGGGGGGCAGCAGUGGGGAGUGGUGGAAGAUGGGCGGAAGGUGGAUGCAGCAAUGCCGCGUGAGGGAGGGGGGCAGUGGGGGGGUAGGAAGAGGACGCCGGGGAAGAAGAGUGAGGGAAGGUAAGGGGUAAAGAAGAAAGGGCGAAGUACGGG
This 468-nucleotide ribosomal RNA is filed under the name uncultured bacterium. RNAcentral describes it as "partial 16S ribosomal RNA". The stretch from base 12 to 374 matches the Rfam family "Bacterial small subunit ribosomal RNA", at positions 39 to 400 of the family's 1533-position model. The record is from RNAcentral.